RNAcentral lists this transfer RNA (72 nucleotides) under Trachymyrmex cornetzi. It matches the Rfam family "tRNA". From Rfam's summary of the family: Transfer RNA (tRNA) molecules are approximately 80 nucleotides in length. Their secondary structure includes four short double-helical elements and three loops (D, anti-codon, and T loops). The record is from Rfam by way of RNAcentral. Lineage: Eukaryota; Metazoa; Arthropoda; Insecta; Hymenoptera; Formicidae.
GCCUUAAUAGUCUAACUGUGAUGACACCUGCCUGACAAGCAGGAGAUCCGGGUUCGAUUCCUGGCUGAGGUA